This 377-nucleotide unclassified non-coding RNA is filed under the name uncultured Pseudobdellovibrionaceae bacterium. RNAcentral describes it as "uncultured Bdellovibrionaceae bacterium contains 16S-23S intergenic spacer region". Lineage: Bacteria; Pseudomonadati; Bdellovibrionota; Bdellovibrionia; Bdellovibrionales; Pseudobdellovibrionaceae. The record is from RNAcentral.
UCCGGUUUGUCACCGGCAGUCUCCCAUGAGUCCCCAACUGAAUGCUGGCAACUAAAGACAAGGGUUGCGCUCGUUAUGGGACUUAACCCGACAUCUCACGACACGAGCUGACGACAGCCAUGCAGCACCUGAUACUAGUGUCCCGAAGGCCUACCGUAUCUCUACGAUAUUCACUAGCACUUCAAACCCAGGUAAGGUUUUUCGCGUUGCAUCGAAUUGAACCACAUGCUCCACCGCUUGUGCGGGCCCCCGUCAAUUUCUUUGAGUUUUAAUCUUGCGACCGUACUUCCCAGGCGGAACACUUAACGCGUUAGCUUCGGCACUGGAGGGGUCAAUACCCCGAACACCUAGUACCCAUCGUUUACGGCGUGGACUAC